RNAcentral lists this ribosomal RNA (200 nucleotides) under uncultured bacterium. RNAcentral's name for it is "partial 16S ribosomal RNA". It matches the Rfam family "Bacterial small subunit ribosomal RNA", at positions 28 to 231 of the family's 1533-position model. The record is from RNAcentral.
GAUGAACGCUAGCGGCAGGCGUAACACAUGCAAGUCGAGGGGUAGAAGUCUUCGGACUUUGAGACCGGCGCACGGGUGCGUAACGCGUAUGCAAUCUGCCUUGUACAAAGGGAUAGCCCAGAGAAAUUUGGAUUAAUGCCUUGUAGUAUAACGAUAUGGCAUCAUAUUGUUAUUAAAGAUUUAUCGGUACAAGGUGAGCA